Molecule: ribosomal RNA, 111 nt
Filed under: Candidatus Odoribacter faecigallinarum
Lineage: Bacteria; Pseudomonadati; Bacteroidota; Bacteroidia; Bacteroidales; Odoribacteraceae
Source: RNAcentral
ACAGGUGCCUAUAACGAAGGGGAUCCACCUCUAUCCAUUCCGAACAGAGAAGUUAAGCCCUUGCGUGCCGAUGGUACUGCAGCGAUGUGGGAGAGUAGGUCGGUGCCGGAU